This 408-nucleotide ribosomal RNA is filed under the name uncultured bacterium. RNAcentral describes it as "partial 16S ribosomal RNA". It matches the Rfam family "Bacterial small subunit ribosomal RNA", at positions 29 to 526 of the family's 1533-position model. The record is from RNAcentral.
AGUGAACGCUGGCGGCGUGCCUAAUACAUGCAAGUCGAACGGAGUGGCGCACGGGUGAGUAAUGUAUAGCUAAUCUGCCCUCCACUAGAGGACAACAGCUGGUAACGACUGCUACUACUCUAUAUUGUAGGAUGAGGCUAUAUUGUAUCAGCUAGUUGGUGAGGUAAUGGCUCACCAAGGCUAUGACGCAUAACUGGUCUGAGAGGAUGAUCAGUCAAACUGGAAGUGAGGCACGGUCGGGACUCCUACGGGAAGCAGCAGUAGGGGAUAUUGCUCAAUGGUGGAAGCCCGGAAGCGGCAACGCGGCGUGGAGGAUGACAAUUGGGGGGGCGUAGACUCCUUUUGUUAGGGAAGCGGUACCUAACGAAUAAGCACCGGCUAACUCCGUGCCAGCAGCCGCGGUAAUUC